UGUAAUUUAGUUUAGUAAGAAUUUUUAUUUUUGGUGUAAAGGGGGUUAGUUACAG
RNAcentral lists this transfer RNA (55 nucleotides) under Angiostrongylus cantonensis (rat lungworm). RNAcentral's name for it is "tRNA-Gln". The record is from RNAcentral. RNAcentral also lists the same sequence under 1 other name. Lineage: Eukaryota; Metazoa; Nematoda; Chromadorea; Rhabditida; Metastrongylidae.